UCUUAGCUUAUUGCUUGUGUCAGGGU
Molecule: non-coding RNA, 26 nt
Filed under: Homo sapiens (human)
Lineage: Eukaryota; Metazoa; Chordata; Mammalia; Primates; Hominidae
Source: RNAcentral